ACAGGGGGAUAACAGUUAGAAAUGACUGCUAAUACCGCAUAAGCGCACGGUACCGCAUGGUGCAGUGUGAAAAACUCCGGUGGUGUGAGAUGGAUCCGCGUCUGAUUAGGUAGUUGGUGAGGUAACGGCCCACCAAGCCGACGAUCAGUAGCCGACCUGAGAGGGUGACCGGCCACAUUGGGACUGAGACACGGCCCAAACUCCUACGGGAGGCAGCAGUGGGGAAUAUUGCACAAUGGGCGAAAGCCUGAUGCAGCAACGCCGCGUGAGUGAAGAAGUAUCUCGGUAUGUAAAGCUCUAUCAGCAGGGAAGAAAAUGACGGUACCUGACUAAGAAGCCCCGGCUAACUACGUGCCAGCAGCCGCGGUAAUACGUAGGGGGCAAGCGUUAUCCGGAUUUACUGGGUGUAAAGGGAGCGCAGACGGCACUGCAAGUCUGAAGUGAAAGCCCGGGGCUCAACCCCGGGACUGCUUUGGAAACUGUAGAGCUAGAGUGCUGGAGAGGCAAGCGGAAUUCCUAGUGUAGCGGUGAAAUGCGUAGAUAUUAGGAAGAACACCAGUGGCGAAGGCGGCUUGCUGGACAGUAACUGACGUUCAGGCUCGAAAGCGUGGGGAGCAAACAGGAUUAGAUACCCUGGUAGUCCACGCCGUAAACGA
Molecule: ribosomal RNA, 656 nt
Filed under: uncultured bacterium
Lineage: Bacteria
Description: bacterial SSU rRNA
Rfam family: Bacterial small subunit ribosomal RNA
Source: RNAcentral